GCGCGAGUGGCGGAAUGGUAGACGCGCUGGCUUCAGGUGCCAGUGUCCGUACGGACGUGGGGGUUCAAGUCCCCCCUCGCGCA
This 83-nucleotide transfer RNA is filed under the name Microbacterium sp. XT11. RNAcentral describes it as "tRNA-Leu". It matches the Rfam family "tRNA". From Rfam's summary of the family: Transfer RNA (tRNA) molecules are approximately 80 nucleotides in length. Lineage: Bacteria; Bacillati; Actinomycetota; Actinomycetes; Micrococcales; Microbacteriaceae. The record is from RNAcentral.